This 274-nucleotide ribosomal RNA is filed under the name uncultured bacterium. RNAcentral describes it as "partial 16S ribosomal RNA". It matches the Rfam family "Bacterial small subunit ribosomal RNA", at positions 523 to 796 of the family's 1533-position model. The record is from RNAcentral.
AUACGGAGGGUGCAAGCGUUAAUCGGAAUUACUGGGCGUAAAGCGUACGUAGGCGGUCCGUUAAGUUAGAUGUGAAAGCCCCGGGCUUAACCUGGGAACUGCAUUUAAAACUGGCGAACUAGAGUUGAGUAGAGGGGAGUGGAAUUUCAGGUGUAGCGGUGAAAUGCGUAGAGAUCUGAAGGAACACCAGUGGCGAAGGCGACUCCCUGGACUCGAACUGACGCUGAGGUACGAAAGCGUGGGUGGCAAACGGGAUUAGAAACCCUAGUAGUCC